ACCUUCCCUAGGUGGAUCGGGCCCAACUACCUGGGGCUGAGAGCAGGGUGUGCGUGUAGGAUCGGCCCGUCCGACUGUAGCCCGUGUUGGCUUGAGAGGUGACAGGCAGGCUCGGGACGCAGGGCUUUCUCCUGAGUAAACCUGGCUAAGGGGGGGGGGAAGUGUGCCAGGUAAAGUUCUUGCUUACUUAAGAGUAAACCCUACAGCAUCGGAUGGGUGUGUGUGUGUCUUACUGCUGGAGGACGACGUGCGUAAGAGCCAGUGAGCAAGAAGGUUGCAAAGAUUAAGUGGAUAAUGGGUUAUCUUUUCUUCAAGAAAACACAUACACACAGCAUCCUAUGGAUCAAUUCAGUGGGUUCCUCUUUGAAUUAAGAGCGGACUGGUGUAUUUUAUAAAAAAUGUUAAUUUAAGGUGUCUAUGAAUUGGAACUGUAGACUGCCAGCAUCGCCCUAGAAGAGGCAUUCUGUCAAACAGGAGUGAAUGUCUCUCCUCCAUUCAUGGCACAUGGGCACCGUGGUGCUGGGAAGCCCCUUGGGGGAUUCUGGGAAUUGUAGUAUUAAAACAAUCAUUUUGUGCCUUAGUGCCAAAAGUUUACCCUUGCUUUUCCUGCUUGAGUACUCUUAGUUGUAUGGGGGAGAUAAAUUGAUGUAUUGAUGUAUUUGUUUAUUUACUCCUUCCUUCCUUGACCCUAUGCCAGCAAAAGUCUUAGGCUUGAUUACCUACUGAUUUCCCUCGAAUUGCCUUAACUGCAUUGGUGGACGAAUGAAACGACAGCUGGACCCUAGUCCAGGAGAAAUUUGUGAAUGCAUUUCAGAUUUCCUGGUGGUUUCUCUUAAAUAGAUAAUGCAAUUAACGGGGCAUUUUUCUACAGCAAUACUGAUGUGGUUUUGGAAAACCUGCACCCCCCCUUAUUUUUUUUAAUGAUUUACUUUAUUUAAAUCUUGCCAUUUCCUGUCUUACUGUAGAGAGAGAAAGUUGCUCGAGGUUGCCUGCUAAGUUUUGGACCGAGUCGUAUUCAUCGUAGUGGUUCGUUAUUUUUAAAAAUGAAAUCAAACCCCCAGCUUUCAGAAACGAACACACGCAAGGCAGCUUAUACACAACGAUAGGUGUUACUUCAAAUUAGUUUCUGGGCACUGUCUCUUGAUCCCAGUGUGGCAGAACCAAGAGACCAACCCAGGGCAGAGCUAUGCAAAUUAGGAGCAGCCUCAAUUGUCAUUGGCUCUCGUUACCAUCUGUCAGGAGCAAAUAAAAAUCAACAAAACUUCA
This 1266-nucleotide long non-coding RNA is filed under the name Pogona vitticeps (central bearded dragon). Its description in RNAcentral is "lncRNA (ENSPVIG00000022899.1)". The record is from RNAcentral. Lineage: Eukaryota; Metazoa; Chordata; Lepidosauria; Squamata; Agamidae.